CUGUUUUAGGUGACUUGGUCCU
Molecule: non-coding RNA, 22 nt
Filed under: Rattus norvegicus (Norway rat)
Lineage: Eukaryota; Metazoa; Chordata; Mammalia; Rodentia; Muridae
Source: RNAcentral